This 302-nucleotide ribosomal RNA is filed under the name uncultured bacterium. RNAcentral describes it as "partial 16S ribosomal RNA". It matches the Rfam family "Bacterial small subunit ribosomal RNA", at positions 508 to 807 of the family's 1533-position model. The record is from RNAcentral.
GCAUCCGCCGCGGGAAUACCGAGGGUGCGAGCGUUAAUCGGAUUUACUGGGCGUAAAGCGUGCGUAGGCGGCUUUUUAAGUCGGAUGUGAAAUCCCUGAGCUUAACUUAGGAAUUGCAUUCGAUACUGGGAAGCUAGAGUAUGGGAGAGGAUGGUAGAAUUCCAGGUGUAGCGGUGAAAUGCGUAGAGAUCUGGAGGAAUACCGAUGGCGAAGGCAGCCAUCUGGCCUAAUACUGACGCUGAGGUACGAAAGCAUGGGGAGCAAACAGGAUUAGAUACCCGGGUAGUCCCUGUCUCUUAUAC